This 244-nucleotide long non-coding RNA is filed under the name Phoenix dactylifera (date palm). RNAcentral's name for it is "long non-coding RNA (PDAC_LNC020828)". The record is from RNAcentral. Lineage: Eukaryota; Viridiplantae; Streptophyta; Magnoliopsida; Arecales; Arecaceae.
GCUCCUUAAAAGAGAACAUCGAGAGAUGUUUGUGGCUCUCCAAGAUAUCUAUCUUCAUAUUGAAUGGCUAAAGCGAAUGUCAAACUUAUAUAAGUAGUUGUUGACGUACUAUUAUGGCAAUAUAUUUUGUAGUUUUAAUUAUGAACUUCUAUUACAGAAUGAUGAUAGACUAUAUGUAUUUGUGGUAUCUCUUGGAUAAUGUAUCAUGGAUGCUAUUGAUUUUAUGGAUAUUAUAGAUGUUAUG